This 510-nucleotide ribosomal RNA is filed under the name uncultured bacterium. Its description in RNAcentral is "bacterial SSU rRNA". It matches the Rfam family "Bacterial small subunit ribosomal RNA", at positions 15 to 518 of the family's 1533-position model. The record is from RNAcentral.
GAUCCUGGCUCAGGAUGAACGCUAGCGACAGGCUAACACAUGCAAGUCGAGGGGCAGCAUAGAAGUAGCAAUACUUGGUGGCGACCGGCGCACGGGUGAGUAACGCGUAUGCAACCUACCUAUCAGAGGGGAAUAACCCGGCGAAAGUCGGACUAAUACCGCAUAAAACAGGGGCACCGCAUGGUGAUAUUUGUUAAAGAAAUUCGCUGAUAGAUGGGCAUGCGUUCCAUUAGGUAGUUGGUGAGGUAACGGCUCACCAAGCCGACGAUGGAUAGGGGAACUGAGAGGUUGGUCCCCCACACUGGUACUGAGACACGGACCAGACUCCUACGGGAGGCAGCAGUGAGGAAUAUUGGUCAAUGGGCGGGAGCCUGAACCAGCCAAGUCGCGUGAAAGGAAGAAGGAUCUAUGGUUCGUAAACUUCUUUUGCAGGGGAAUAAAGUGCAGGACGUGUCCUGUUUUGUAUGUACCCUGAGAAUAAGGAUCGGCUAACUCCGUGCCAGCCGCAGC